UACGGAGGGUGCAAACGUUGCUCGGAAUCAUUGGGCGUAAAGCGCACGUAGGCGGUUCGUUAAGUCGGAUGUGAAAGCCCUCGGCUCAACCGAGGAAGUGCAUACGAAACUGGCGAACUUGAAUAUGGAAGAGGGUCGCGGAAUUCCCGGUGUAGAGGUGAAAUUCGUAGAUAUCGGGAGGAACACCAGUGGCGAAGGCGGCGACCUGGGCCAAUAUUGACGCUGAGGUGCGAAAGCGUGGGGAGCAAACAGG
RNAcentral lists this ribosomal RNA (253 nucleotides) under uncultured bacterium. RNAcentral's name for it is "partial 16S ribosomal RNA". It matches the Rfam family "Bacterial small subunit ribosomal RNA", at positions 524 to 776 of the family's 1533-position model. The record is from RNAcentral.